UUCCUGUAGUUAAAUUUUAUAACGAUGGUUUUUCAGGCCAUAGAUCUUGGGGAGGGUCCAGGCAGGAAC
This 69-nucleotide transfer RNA is filed under the name Garrulus lidthi. RNAcentral describes it as "tRNA-Glu". It matches the Rfam family "tRNA". Rfam says of the family: Transfer RNA (tRNA) molecules are approximately 80 nucleotides in length. The record is from RNAcentral. Lineage: Eukaryota; Metazoa; Chordata; Aves; Passeriformes; Corvidae.